UUCGACUCCACAGAAGGGAGAAAUCUUUUAAUCCUCGGCUUCCUGCCUUUCGAAAGCCUUACCCCCAAUACAUCAAUGCUGUGUACCCCAUCACUGGAGCCUCAGCUUGAAGGGGCAGCUACACAUUGGCAGCUGUACUGCAGUUAGACUUUUGUUGAUGCCGCCCAGCACCAAUGCAACCUCCUCCUUCAGCUCCUCUGGAAAUAACAGCCUAUAAGAAGUGAGAUGGAGGAACCUCUC
Molecule: long non-coding RNA, 240 nt
Organism: Eublepharis macularius
Lineage: Eukaryota; Metazoa; Chordata; Lepidosauria; Squamata; Eublepharidae
Exons: 3
Source: RefSeq, a predicted model, not a curated record